GAGCCCUACGUGGGCGUUUCCUCCCUAAACUUGGGCCACCCUUUAUGGGUGGUCUUUUUUUU
RNAcentral lists this small RNA (62 nucleotides) under Luteithermobacter gelatinilyticus. RNAcentral describes it as "Makes More Granules Regulator RNA (mmgR)". It matches the Rfam family "Makes More Granules Regulator RNA (mmgR)", at positions 8 to 69 of the family's 77-position model. From Rfam's summary of the family: SuhB later renamed mmgR (makes more granules regulator) was a putative non-coding RNA found multiple times in the Agrobacterium tumefaciens genome and related alpha-proteobacteria. Other non-coding RNAs uncovered in the same analysis include: speF, ybhL, metA, and serC. The record is from RNAcentral. Lineage: Bacteria; Pseudomonadati; Pseudomonadota; Alphaproteobacteria; Emcibacterales; Emcibacteraceae.